Molecule: long non-coding RNA, 462 nt
Organism: Cercocebus atys (sooty mangabey)
Lineage: Eukaryota; Metazoa; Chordata; Mammalia; Primates; Cercopithecidae
Exons: 2
Source: RefSeq, a predicted model, not a curated record
CCUGCCUCAUGAUCUGCCCACCUCAGCCUCCCAGAGUUCUGGGAUUAUAGGCAUGAGCCACCACGCCUGGCCAUGAGCAUUUAUUUCUAAACUUACCUCUUCUGUUGAUUCAUUUUGAUUAUUAUGAUACUUUUGAACAGCCUUCUCUACCCUCAUCCUUCAAAAAUUAGUCUGUGUGUGUAUGUUUGAAUUAUAAUUUAAUGAUGGAUACAGCGAAGUAAGUGUUAUUAUACAGAAUCACUGUAUAAGUCUAAUGAGUUAAUAGAUUCAGGUACAGAACAUAUAAGCUGGCUGGAGAAAGACCUCCAGAUAGGCUGAAGAAUUUUAACAUUGUGCUGGUUAACAUUUCAGACUGAUGGCGCAUCUGCAAUGUUGAUUAUGGCAGAGGAAAAGGCUUUGGCCAUGGGUUAUAAGCCGAAGGCAUAUUUGAGGGAUUUUAUGUAUGUGUCUCAGGAUCCAAAA